CAAUAGCGUAUAUUUAAGUUGCUGCAGUUAAAAAGCUCGUAGUUGGAUUUCGGGUGGGAAUGGCCGGUCCGCCGUUUCGGUGUGCACUUGCUACGCCCACCUUGCUGCCGGGGACGUGCUCUUGAGUUCACGCUCGGGACACGGAGUCGGCGAGGCUACUUUGAGUAAAUUAGAGUGUUCAAAGCAGGCCUACGCUCUGAAUACAUUAGCAUGGAAUAACACGAUAGGACUCUGGCCUAUCUUGUUGGUCUGUAGGACCGGAGUAAUGAUUAAGAGGGACAGUCGGGGGCAUUCGUAUUUCAUUGUCAGAGGUGAAAUUCUUGGAUUUAUGAAAGACGAACUACUGCGAAAGCAUUUGCCAAGGAUGUUUUCAUUAA
This 377-nucleotide ribosomal RNA is filed under the name uncultured eukaryote. RNAcentral describes it as "partial 18S ribosomal RNA". It matches the Rfam family "Eukaryotic small subunit ribosomal RNA", at positions 592 to 976 of the family's 1831-position model. The record is from RNAcentral.